UCCUUUAUUUAUCUGAUUUGGAUUGUCAUUUGAAUCAAUCGUCAGGUAUAAUGAGGGAUA
Pristionchus pacificus is the source of this 60-nucleotide non-coding RNA. The record is from Rfam. NCBI's taxonomy places the organism in Eukaryota, Metazoa, Nematoda, Chromadorea, Rhabditida, Neodiplogasteridae.